Thalassophryne amazonica is the source of this 3772-nucleotide RNA transcript. It is a transcript of the gene named adaptor related protein complex 1 subunit mu 3, with no coding region annotated. The transcript is spliced from 12 exons. Lineage: Eukaryota; Metazoa; Chordata; Actinopteri; Batrachoidiformes; Batrachoididae. The record is from RefSeq and is a predicted model, not a curated record.
CAGCAGUGUGAGUGUGUGAGGAGGAGAGAUGAGGAAGCAGGAUGAUGGGAUCUCCUUUUACUCCCUUUAAGUGACCCAUAUUUUAUAUUUGCCACAGAUUUUUUUUUUUUUUUUUAAAUCUAUUCGGUUGUAGGCGAGGAUUUGUCACCAUCAACAUGUCGGCGUCUGCGAUAUUUAUCCUCGACCUUAAAGGGAAGGUGCUGAUCUGCCGUAACUAUAUGGGAAACAUGGACAUGAACGUGAUUGACCAAUUCAUGCCCAUCCUGAUGAAGACGGAAGAGGAUGCUGAGGUGACGCCGUUGGUCAGCCAUGGUUCCUGCCACUUUCUGUGGAUAAAGCACAGCAACAUCUACUUGGUGGCUAUGACCAAGAAGAAUGCCAAUGCUGCCCUGGUGUACUCCUUCCUUUACAAAAUAGUCCAGGUAUUUAAAGAGUACUUUAAGGAACUGGAGGAGGAAAGUAUCCGUGAUAACUUUGUGACAGUGUACGAGCUAAUGGAUGAAGUGAUGGAUUUUGGCUUCCCUCAGACAACUGACAGCAAGAUCCUACAAGAAUAUAUCACCCAGCAGGGCCACAAGUUGGAGGUCGGAGCUCCAAGGCCUCCUGCCACCGUCACCAAUGCCGUGUCUUGGCGGUCAGAAGGCAUCAAAUACAGAAAGAAUGAAGUAUUUAUGGAUGUUAUUGAGUCGGUUAACUUACUGGUGAGUGCCACAGGCAGCGUCCUGCGCAGCGAAAUAGUGGGCAGCAUUAAGCUCAAGGUGGUUCUGUCGGGGAUGCCUGAACUCAGACUGGGCCUCAAUGACAAAGUCCUGUUUGAGAUUACAGGAAGAGAGAAGAGUAAGACAGUGGAGCUGGAAGACGUGAAGUUUCAUCAGUGUGUCCGUCUGUCGCGCUUUGAGAAUGACCGCACCAUCUCCUUCAUUCCCCCUGAUGGCGAGAGUGAGCUCAUGUCGUAUCGCCUCAAUACCACGGUGAAGCCUCUCAUAUGGAUUGAGAGCGUGAUUGAGAAGUUCUCGCACAGCCGUGUGGAGAUCAAGGUGAAGGCCCGGAGUCAGUUUAAGAGCCGCUCCACCGCCAACAAUGUGUCCAUUAUGAUUCCGGUGCCCAGCGACGCUGACACACCGAAGUUCAAGACCAGCACAGGCAGUGCCAAGUGGGUGCCAGAGAAGAACGCCGUGCAGUGGAACAUCAAGUCUUUCCCUGGUGGGAAGGAGUACAUGAUGCGGGCGCACUUCGGGCUGCCCAGCGUGGAGAGCGACGAGCUGGAGGCAAAGCGACCCAUCACAGUUAACUUUGAGAUCCCAUAUUUCACUGUAUCAGGAUUCAGGUCCGCUAUCUGAAGAUCAUAGAGAAGAGUGGCUACCAGGCGUUACCAUGGGUACGCUACAUCACACAAAGUGGAGAUUACCAACUCCGGACGAACUAAAGGCCACCAGUGCUGCUGCACAAUUUAUGUUUUCUCUUUCCAUCUCUCUGUCUCUGCCUGCAAAGAACAGCAGAGGACAAGUGCAAGAGAACAUAAAAUUUGACCCACUGUGAUGGGACAGAAGACCUCCUCUCCUGUUGGUUAUGGACGCCUCAGGCGGAAACAGCUGUUCACUCACCUCUGACCUGUGACCUUUUUCUCCCUCAGGACUCCACUAAAACAUUUUUUUAAUGUGAAUUUUGAGCAGAAUCCAGCGACACCAUCUGUUCUUCUUAAAGCUUUUUUAAUGUGAUGUCCCUUCAAGUUAAUUUGGAGCAAAAUUCCUGAUAUGUGCACGGAGCGACAGGGUGACAGGAAUCAAUCUGUGAUUUAUUUUGUGUUCUUCAGAGAACGUGCAGCUUUUUUCCUGGGUAACAUAUAAACCAGCAGAUUGUCCACUGCCAUUGUGAGGGAUCAGCAUCACUUUAAAGUUAUAUGUUCAUGCAAGAUCAUCCCACAUUUCUGUCAGCAUCUGUGACCAUCAAAGAUUUUAAGGAUAACACUGUUGGCAGCCAAGCCUCUGAGCUCUAAUCGUCUUUUAAUGAUUGAUUAAUUUGCAAGAAAACAGUAUGGGGAAGACGCAUCGGGAGUUAUAAAGAUCCAGCAUACGCUCAAAGUUGUCAACAAAAUAGCCAUAUAUAUGUAUGUAUAUAUGCUAAGGCUAAUAGGCUAGGUCACCUGAAUUUGGAUAAUGAAUGGAUAUUUUUGCAGAUUGGGUGAUAAUUUUUAUCAGGACCUGAGUGUGGGUUUUUAAAAUGAUGACUGGUCUGUUGUCUCUAUAAUGGCUAUACAAUGACUGUAGCUAACAAAAUUAAGCUAGCAGUACCUGCUAAUUACCGCUAAUGGCACUAACCUGCAUAUUAAAUCGCACUAAAAUUUCACUCUGCAGAAAUACUGGAGCACAGUCUUCUUAUUUCAAUUAUUUGUCCUCAGAAAGGACAAACCCAGUCACAUCCACAACAGCUAGCAACCAUUGCUAACGGAGCACUGGACCUAGCACACCAGGUCUUACUCAACGUGACCAUGCCCCUAAUUAUUCGUAACUUCAUGGCCUAAAAAGUCUUUAAACUAAUGAGGUAUACAAAAAUUCCCCCCUUCUGUACAGUUGUCAUGAAUGAGGAAAACCAACUACAGAGGUGAAAACUUUUUUUUUUUUUUGUUACCUGCAGUUCUUUGAAUGGCCUCAAGAGCCAGGUUUUGGCACUUCUGCAUUUUGUUUUUUUUCAACAUCUGAAGUUGCUGCUUAGAAAUAACGUAUGACACCUGCUUUGUAAUUGUUGCACAGCUGCAUAGCCAAAGGCAGAAGCUACACUUCUUUACUAUUACACAAGCUAGAAUUUUACACAAAGUCCCAAUAGAAAUUUUAUAAUAUGACCAGCAAUGGAUGUUGUAAAUAUUCCCGAAAUGCAAAAAACACGUUAGAACUCCACUCGGCCAAUUUUAAGUAUCAGAGGGGGAAAAAGAGUGAGAGUGAUUUAGAGAUGUGCUGCAAGACUUACUGAUCCAGUGUGUUCCGUCCUUUUCAGUAGUUUGUGGGGGAAAUUAUUUUUUUCAAAGUUCAGUCUUGAUUUCAAACAAUCAAUACAUGACUAAAGUUUAAAAAAAAAAAAGGUGAACUUGCCCUUUAUUGCACUAUGUUAUGCGUCUACAGUUUAAAUCGUCCCUUUGUGUGAUGUAUGUUCCACUGAAUUCUGCACAUUAUUUAGUCAUGACCUUAAAUUAUGUCGCCGGGCUCAUUGCGGUAAACUUAAUCCCCAGUGCAGUGAACGCAGCACCGGUGACCACAUCAAUGAUUAAUAAGGCACGAUAUCGUCACAGGCGUCGGCAGUGUAAUAUAAUGCUGCUGACACCUUCCCAUGAGGUCUAGAACCUUGUCCUGAUGCUCCAAAACAGGAAUUAGACAUCAAGCAGAGACUGAAGGAACGAGUGCAGGGCUGACAUUUUAUGUUUCUACUUAAACACUGUGAAGCUCAACACAUUCAGUUUGGGUGAAGUUACAAAUCAUAAAAGGAAUAUUUUUGAGAUUAGUGACCAACUGUUGAGACAGUUUUUUUUAAAUAUCUUUUGACCUCUUCUGGAUUCAGUCGGUUCUUCCUGUCAGUUCUGCUGCUAAGAGCUCAGUGGAGUGACGCAUCGUCACCACGCCGUACCUCACAGGUAGCCAAUCACUGCGUUAUUUAGUGUGGGGAUGUUGGAGGAGGGUUAUUUUUUAAUGGUGUGUUGUGUGUUUGAUUUGUCAAGUCCUGUUUGUCCACAAGAAGAAAAGGGAUCUACAGUGUUUGGAAAUAAACAUUCUUUUAUAUCUUG